AUGGUGAUAUGAUAAAUUACUGCUUGAAAUUUUCAUGAUUAAGUCAUACUAAUCCCCAAGUAACCUAUUUUUCAGGCAUCAUGCAUGAGGCUCUCAUUGAUGGUUUGGAGGUUGAUGGUGGGAGGGUUUUUGUUUCCUCUAAUUGACAAUUUUCUACAUAAUUACUCUAGGUAGAUAUUAGAUUUCCUAUUACCUAGUUUCCAUUGGCAUAUUGCACAAUUGCAGCUAUACAAGGAUCAAUUUUAUAUGCAUUUAUUUUUUAUUUUUGCUUGGAUAAAAAAUAUUAUUUAAUCAAU
RNAcentral lists this long non-coding RNA (296 nucleotides) under Elaeis guineensis (African oil palm). RNAcentral describes it as "long non-coding RNA (EGUI_LNC079364)". Lineage: Eukaryota; Viridiplantae; Streptophyta; Magnoliopsida; Arecales; Arecaceae. The record is from RNAcentral.